GAAAACCCGUUUAGGCAAAGAAACGUGCGGAAGAGAUCAAAAUUUCCAAGUUUUCCAGUGUGGAACAAAAAGAACAAAAGACCGAAUCGAUCAAGUGGAAAAGCUGACAGGGUUGAAGAACCGCCGCUUUCUUCGGUGCCAAAAGCAAGUUUUAACGAAGAAAAGAUUUAAGGAGGAGGUGGUGCACGUUUCAGGUGCUUCGCAAACAAUAAACACUCAACAAAUAUGAUCGAAUGCAUGAAGUAAUACUCUCUGAAGCUCUGGGUAUGGCGUUUGGGACACAGUAAGUGCUCAAUAAGUAUCAGUGAUGAUGAUGAAGAUUCUUCCAGCUUGUUUUGACUCCUCUAACGAUCUCAUCUCCCCACACCCACCCUGCCUUCGUCAUCGUUUAUCUAAGUUGCCUGAGCCCUGAAGACUUCACAUGGUUUCCAUCUGGUGCCUGAGUUAGAUUCCCAUCAUGGCUUUUCGGGGAAAACCUUAUCAUCUUCUUCCAGUUCCUGGCACCGACAAAUGCACAGGGUAUUGAUCCUGCAACCCGAGGAGAAGGCUGCAAAUAUUUUUGCUCGGUAAACAGGCUAAGUGUUUGGAGAGGAAGCGUGAAACACAGUCCAGGACAUGUGGCUUUAAUUUCGAGAGUCUUAUUAAGACCUGGCAGCUGAUCUCCCUCUGAUUUCCUAUUCAUUCAUUCAAUCGUAUUUGUUGAGCGCUUUCUGUGUGCAGAGCGCUGUACUAGGCGCUUGGAAAUUACAAUUCGGCAGUAAAUAGAGACAACCCCCCCCCCCACCAAUGGGCUCAUGGUAUAGAAGCGGAAAGACAGGCAACAAAACAAAUAAACAGGCAUGAGUAGCA
Molecule: long non-coding RNA, 849 nt
Organism: Ornithorhynchus anatinus (platypus)
Lineage: Eukaryota; Metazoa; Chordata; Mammalia; Monotremata; Ornithorhynchidae
Exons: 4
Source: RefSeq, a predicted model, not a curated record